UACGGGGGGGGCAAGCGUUGUUCGGAAUUACUGGGCGUAAAGGGUGCGUAGGCGGCUUUCUAAGUUGGAUGUGAAAACUCUGGGCUCAACCCAGAGCCUGCAUCCAAAACUGGAAAGCUAGGGUUCUGGAGGGGAAAGCGGAAUUCCUGGUGUAGCGGUGAAAUGCGUAGAUAUCAGGAGGAACACCGGCGGCGAAGGCGGCUUCCUGGCCCAUUACUGACGUUCAGGUACGAAAGCGUGGGGAGCAAACAGG
Molecule: ribosomal RNA, 253 nt
Filed under: uncultured bacterium
Lineage: Bacteria
Description: partial 16S ribosomal RNA
Rfam family: Bacterial small subunit ribosomal RNA
Source: RNAcentral